UAGGGAUUCUUCCACAAUGGACGCAAGUCUGAUGGAGCAACGCCGCGUGAGUGAAGAAGGUUUUCGGAUCGUAAAGCUCUGUUGUUGGUGAAGAAGGAUAGAGGUAGUAACUGGCCUUUAUUUGACGGUAAUCAACCAGAAAGUCACGGCUAACUACGUGCCAGCAGCCGCGGUAAUACGUAGGUGGCAAGCGUUGUCCGGAUUUAUUGGGCGUAAAGCGAGCGCAGGCGGAAGAAUAAGUCUGAUGUGAAAGCCCUCGGCUUAACCGAGGAACUGCAUCGGAAACUGUUUUUCUUGAGUGCAGAAGAGGAGAGUGGAAUUCCAUGUGUAGCGGUGGAAUGCGUAGAUAUAUGGAAGAACACCAGUGGCGAAGGCGACUCUCUGGUCUGCAACUGACGCUGAGGCUCGAAAGCAUGGGUAGCGAACAGG
This 429-nucleotide ribosomal RNA is filed under the name bacterium. RNAcentral's name for it is "partial 16S ribosomal RNA". It matches the Rfam family "Bacterial small subunit ribosomal RNA", at positions 355 to 776 of the family's 1533-position model. The record is from RNAcentral.